Long non-coding RNA from Nothobranchius furzeri (turquoise killifish), 2067 nucleotides. Lineage: Eukaryota; Metazoa; Chordata; Actinopteri; Cyprinodontiformes; Nothobranchiidae. The record is from Ensembl.
AUGACUACUUAUAAACAAGACCUGACAGCACAAUUACGGGACAGCCGUAAGACUGUGGAUCAACUUAAUAGACAGAUCAGAAUAUUAAACGCUGAAAACAAAAAGCUACAGAAAGAGCAUUUGAAAACUGUAAAAGAUUUAGAAAUCUGUCGCAAUGACACUUACAAAAAAGUUCAGCAAAAACGUCAGAAUGAGAUGUCGGAUAAACUUAAGGAGAAAAAUCAAAUGAUUCAGGACUUGAAACAACAAGUUGCUGGAUUUGAGCUUAGAAUUAAAAAACAAGAAACUGAUUUCUUGAGAAAAGAAAGACAGCUGGAGAUGGUGUAUGAUGAAAAGUUUGACAAAGCACAGUUGAUUUUCAAAAACCAGCUAAAAGAAAAUAAAUCAGUUGUUAAUGACUACGAGUCCAAACAGGAGGCAGACAGGAUAUUUAUAAAGAAAAUAGCAGCUGAGAAAUUAGACUACGAAAGAGAGUGUAAGGCUCUAAAGGAUCAGAUUGAUGUUUUAAAAACUGACAAGAAAACAGCUGAGCAUCAAACUAAUAAAGUUCAAAGAGAAGUAGACCUGCUCAGAAGCAGCAUAAACAAAGACAUUUUAGAACAAGCCAAGCUAAAAGAGGAAAUCAAAGGGAAAGUUACAAAAAUUGAAGAAAUUGAAGGAGUGUUGAAACAAAAGGAAAAAGAAAUCAUUGGAUUAAAAAAAACCUUACAUGCUACACAAAGAGACAUCCAUGAAAGUAAUAUCAAGGCAAGCAGGCUUAGAAAUGUUCAAAGGGAUUUGAAACAGGCGGAAGAUAAAAAUCGUAUCUUUAGAGCCGAUCUGCAAGCUGAAAAGGCCCAAGUCGACAUCUUGAAGGUGGACAAAGAUAAGUUAAUUGAAAAAUGCGAUAAACUGAAAGAGAGUAAUGAAAAGCUAUCCGCAGAGAAUUUGGCAUUACUACAGACCAACAAAGAGGUCUCUGAAAAGCUGAAGGACAGCGAAAGAACAGCUAAACAUUUAUCUGAAGAAAACGUGAAGAAAGAAGAAAAAAUCGACCGGCUCACAAAUGAACUUAGGAACACUAGGACAGCUUACCAAAACGAGAGGACACUGUGUGACCACGAAGUGAGAAGGAUGAAAGAAUAUACUUAUAGCGAACUUGUUGACACAAAAAAUAUGGCAAGCGAAGCUGGCAUCCAAAGAGUAAUUCUCAUCAACCAAAACAAAAAGUUGAUUCAUCAAGUCAGCUGUCUGGAACAGCGCUUGACUAAAGCAACAGAAGACAUCAAACUCUUGAGCGGAGAAAGGGAGAAACUUCUUCAAGAAAAACAAAAAAUGUCAUUUGACAAAGACCAGUAUUACGUUGAGCUGGAAAAAGUAAAAGGCGACAAUAACUCUCUGAAGCAAGAGAUUUCACAUCUCAAGUUGCAGGAAAACAUCUCAAAGAAGAAAUUUGAAGAAAAUAUUCAGUCAGUUCGUCAAACACUCACUCACACAGAAUCUGUUCUGGCAAAUGUGGAGGACGAAAACCGGAAACUAUGUCAGAGAAUUGAGAUUCAAGAAAAACAGAUUCGAGAACACAAAGAGCAGCUAACCGAGACUAAAAGAAAUUUGGAGUCAUUUCACCGCCUAGUAGAGGAAAAAGCUGAACAAAUCAGAGAACUUGAAAGCCAUAACCAUGUUAUAAAAAGACCUGUAGUGUUUGGUAAUAUGUACAUUGACUGCAUGCGUGGCAAAAUUCCUGUCGAGAAAAAGUGUUUUGAGUGUACCAAACUUAGAAGAGAGCUUAGCCAAAUUAAUCAGGAUUUUACAACUAAGCUAGAAGAAAAGGAGAAAAUGAUUCAUGAACUGAGGUUAAAAAAUCACAAGACUUUUGGUCUGAGAGCAGAAAAUAACGACCUUAAAAAGCAAAAUGUUAAACUGCAAGGAAUCGGCAUUGCUUUAGAGUGGCAACUGCAACAAGUCACUGACACAAAAGACAAAUUAAAAACUGAGGACAAACCAAAGCCAAACCAGCCAAAGAGAUUGUUGAGGCGCCCUUCACUUGAACCUGCUCGUCUAAGAAGGCCAACUGACCAUUUAAUGUAG